CCGCUGCUCCCCCUCCCUCCCAGGCUUGAGAGCCUGGGAGGGAGGGCGAGUAGCGGCGUGCGAAUCAGCUGUUUCGCGCGCCGUGGCAGCAGCAGCGGAGGUGAGCUAGGGCGGCCGGGGCACAUUUUUAGACCAGGCCUUAAGGUCCCGCAUUGCUCCUAGCAAGGCAGAGAGGCAACCAGCAUACGCUGCUACUGCUGGCUUACCAGCGUCCAGUAUUUCCCGGCAUGAAGGGUUUUUUUUGCAAAUGACUUUGUGCCUCAAUGAGUUUCUUAUCAUGCAAAACAGGACAAGCGGCAUUGAGGGUGACGUUGCCCCGAAGAGCUCGGAGGGUGACGGUUCUCUUUCAGCUUCUCUUCUAGCCAGAAACUGAGUGCUUGUCCCAUGGGACCAUUUCUUCCUGGUAAACACAGAGUGAACUCGAAUCCUGUAGUAUUCCCCCAAACCCUGUCUCCAAAUCCAAGCAGUUAAAGGGCAUGCCCCGAGAUUUAUCUGUCCUUUGCCACUCAUAGACAAACUCCUUCACGCAGCUGGCUUUAUCAGCGAGUGCCCCUCUGGGAUAAAUGAAGGGGGUGGGGCUCCCUUUUAUGAACAUCCAUCCAGCCAGUAGCUAUAAAAUCCCUCUCAGUAGCUGUUCUCUUAUUGCUCUACCUCUAAAGGGUUAAAAAGUCUCACUGCUAUGCAUAGGUAAAAGGAAGUGAGUGGGCACCUGUCCAAAAGAGCCAGUGGGAAGGCUAGAACUUUUUAAAAUUGAAACAAGGCUCCCCUUUUGUCUGUCUGUUGUUCUCUGGUGAGAGGCGGACAGGACAGAGUUAUGCUGGAAGAGCUUGGGCCAGGUAUGAAAAAAUCAUCAGUAUCAUACCUAGAAACUACUCAUUUUAAAACCUCAGAUAUGUAAGUAGCUCAGGAAAUGUAUAGGAAGACGCAAUUAGGUUUAUUCCUUUUAUUUCGUUCUGGCUUGUGGAUUCCUCUGUGCUAACCCCAGGUGCUUUUGUUUUGCUUGUAACCUUUAAGCUGGACCUCAAGAAAGCUAUUCUUGGUUCUUAAAUCCCUGUAGCUUUCUUAUUUAAAUCUAGCAAAUGCCUGAGUUCCCAGAUGUAUUUUGUUUCUUUUUUUUAUUAAUAAAAUGUACCUUUUUUAAGAACA
RNAcentral lists this long non-coding RNA (1146 nucleotides) under Chrysemys picta bellii (western painted turtle). Its description in RNAcentral is "lncRNA (ENSCPBG00000009134.1)". The record is from RNAcentral. Lineage: Eukaryota; Metazoa; Chordata; Testudines; Emydidae.